Long non-coding RNA from Hyposmocoma kahamanoa, 581 nucleotides. RefSeq lists it as uncharacterized. The record is from RefSeq and is a predicted model, not a curated record. The transcript is spliced from 3 exons. NCBI's taxonomy places the organism in Eukaryota, Metazoa, Arthropoda, Insecta, Lepidoptera, Cosmopterigidae.
GGAUUUAACUUCCCAAUCUGCCAGCUAAUUUAUAAAUCGUUAGCGAAGCGAAUUCGAAAACUUCGUGAUGUUCUAGCCCAUUUAGUUAGUAUGUAAUGAAAUCUAGCUAUGAUGGAUGGAUCCAAACUUACAGUUUUAAUGGUUAAUGAAGGUGCCUACUGAUAUCACACACGUUGAACUGUCUUAUAUAUUAGUAAUAAGGGCCUUACAAAAGCCGAACGGUAUUACAAAGAACAAUGUUUAAAUUUUGCAAUAAAAGGGAAGGCUAUUAACACGAGUGAGCGAGCUCGCUUAUCAGUGCAAAUUCUAACAUUCCCGAAUGCCGAUUCUUGAGGCGCCUGCGCUGCCACCAAGAACUACGGGCGCAAACCGAAAAGAUUCUCGCUUCUCUCAUGGCCAAAAAUACUGAAUUUUGAAACGGGCGAGGCGGCCUUCCCCGACAAUGGCAUAAUCGGCCGGGGCCAGGCACUCAGAAACUUACUUUAUUAUUAUAUCAUAUUUUAAAUGAAUAACGUAAACUAUAUUCCGCUCGAAGGCUCGGAAUAUCACGAUAAGCUUGAAAGUUUUGUAAUGUCGUAGAU